This 66-nucleotide transfer RNA is filed under the name Staphylinidae sp. BMNH 1274226. RNAcentral describes it as "tRNA-Ser". Lineage: Eukaryota; Metazoa; Arthropoda; Insecta; Coleoptera; Staphylinidae. The record is from RNAcentral.
AAUUAAUGAACUUGUAUAAGUAUAUAUUUUGAAAAUAUAAAAAAGAGUAUUAAUCUCUAUUAAUUU